This 1703-nucleotide long non-coding RNA is filed under the name Numida meleagris (helmeted guineafowl). RNAcentral's name for it is "lncRNA (ENSNMEG00000007759.1)". The record is from RNAcentral. Lineage: Eukaryota; Metazoa; Chordata; Aves; Galliformes; Numididae.
CAUCCAAAGGCACUCAGUGCACCCGUCCACGCGGCCGGGCCGCGUUCGAGCCUUUUCCGUGACAGCCGAACGCUCCGCGCUGCGCUCUGCUUCGCACUCAUAUCCGCGCGUCCUCUGCGCUCCUCCCCCCGCCCCCGCGCACCCCGAAUCCCGGCACCCCGAGCUCUGCCCGCCCGGGCACGUUCACUGCAGUUAUCCUGCCGAGAAGCAGAAGGCAGCCGCAGCGUUUUGCCACAGAGCCCCACGCUGCGGCCCCCGUUAGCUCCCGGCCAUGCGUUGCUUUGCAGGGCUCCCCGCGGCCCGCGUAGCCCUCUCUUCACCCACAGGUACAGGUGCGGGGGCGCUUCCCCUCCUAACCCUAAAACCCUCCUUCUCCUCGUACACAAACCCCCUUACAAACCAUUCCCUGCUCGGCAGAAUCCCCCCCACCCCCCCGCCCCCAACCCUUUAACUAAGAGCUCGAAUCCGAAAGCUCCGGGCCGCCCGAGACGCCGCUCUGACCCGCGGGCACUGGGGGGCACGGACCGAGGGCCGCCCCCGGCUGACACACACACACGCACACGCCGAGGGCACAGCGAAGGGAGGGGGCAGCGCAAUAUCGGCCCGCGGGCGCGAUGCUCCACAGAGGUUCUGGCUCACAGGAGCCGCUGCGACUUUGACAGCUGUCGCUUUGGCUGCACAGGAGACGAAUCGCCCUCCUUUUGGUGCCAGAAGAAGCAGGAAAUUAGCCAGGUUGCAAGUUGAAAAUCUGCCACGCCAGUGCUUUGAAUCCAAUAUGCCACACCUUCCAGCGGGGGAACUGGAAAUUGCCAUCCCGGAUCUGUGUUCUAGGCGGCUGCUUAUGCCGAACCUCCGCACACUUUGUUCACUAUUGCCUUACAAAGAGCAAAUGAAAUGGGGAUUGAAAGCCAGAGAGAUCCGAAGCAGGACAGAGCUCAGCAAAAGAAUGCGGCUCUAUUCUCGCAAGGGAAAUUAUAAAAAAGUUCAUGUUCACGGUUACCAUCCACAUGACCGACAACGACCAAUGGAAAAACCGAACAACUCAUAAAGUUGUAUUGCAAAGUUGUAAAUUUUCAUAAACAACAACGGAUUUAUGGCCUUUUCCUCAUCACUAAGAAGAGGCAGGUCUUAGAGAGGCGCCAUCUUACCACAGAGGCAGCCCCGGAGUUUUUUUUACCAGACCUGUAGUUCGCACUAAUUUUAUUAAAAUUGCAAUUAGUACGUCGGCGGGGAUCGAGAGCGGCAGAAAAAAGGGAACUUCAGCGCAGAAGAUGCUCUCGUUCUACCUGCGUUCGGCCGCCUCGAUAAAGGGACAUUGCGGACUUAAAAAAAAUUUAUUUCAUUUUUAAAAUUUUUUUUUAAUUUAUAAUUUUUGAUUUUUUGAUUUCUGACUUUUUUUUCCUCCCCCCCCUCCAUUAUUGAAAACACUUUAUCGCCGUCGCGUGGUUCACAGCAGAAUUAACAUCUUUCCUAAAGCGGGGCUGUUUUUCCCCUUUUUAGCCCCAUUCCCGUGCCCCCCGGCUCCGGAAAGCCGCCCGCCCGCCCGCACCCGGGCUUUCACCCCGGGAAGUUUCGCCCCUCACUUUUUGCUCCUUCCCAAAUCUGGUUUCCCUGCCUGCGACUGGGGCUCUGUCACGGCCGCCUGGGCCAGGCUCGGGAUUUCUGGAGGACCUCGGAGCACGGUGGAAGGAAGAAGCCCGGCC